AGAGUUGGUGGCUAGGGUUCCGAUCUUGCGUGCAAGGUGCUGGUCCAAGAGCCGCCCCCCGAAGGGAGAAAUCCUUCGGAUGCACGGCGGGACAAAAGCCCGGGAGGC
This 108-nucleotide small RNA is filed under the name Rhodopseudomonas palustris. Its description in RNAcentral is "Guanidine-I sequence". It matches the Rfam family "Guanidine-I riboswitch aptamer". From Rfam's summary of the family: This family represents a conserved RNA structure found upstream of the ykkC and yxkD genes in Bacillus subtilis and related genes in other bacteria. The function of this family is unclear although it has been suggested that it may function to switch on efflux pumps and detoxification systems in response to harmful environmental molecules. Nelson showed that this riboswitch senses and responds to guanidine and it was renamed Guanidine-I riboswitch. RNAcentral also lists the same sequence under 1 other name. The record is from RNAcentral. Lineage: Bacteria; Pseudomonadati; Pseudomonadota; Alphaproteobacteria; Hyphomicrobiales; Nitrobacteraceae.